RNAcentral lists this unclassified non-coding RNA (438 nucleotides) under Zea mays. Its description in RNAcentral is "misc RNA Zm00001eb056000". The record is from RNAcentral. Lineage: Eukaryota; Viridiplantae; Streptophyta; Magnoliopsida; Poales; Poaceae.
UUGCAACAACCUCACGGAAGGAGGGGCGGAGAGCGACGAGGAGAUACGGCGGGUGCCGGAGAUGGGCGGCGCGUCGGCGUCGGCCUCGUCGGGCGCCUGUGCGGACGAGCGUCCCAAGGGGGAGGACGACAAGCAGGGGCAGGUGGCGGCAGGGGCACAGCCUCCGGCGGGCGGGAAGAAGCGCGGGCGCACCGCGGGGAGAAGCGGCUGCUGCGGAACCGCGGCCUCAGCUACAAGCCUAGCCUGGCCACCGUCCCAGCCUGCCAGGCCGUCAACGUCGCCGACCACGCCUGCACCAAGACCGCCAGCUUCGACGUUAGCGUGACCCAGUAUCUCAUUCACCUGGUGCUCCCUCCUCAUCACUUCGAUGGGAGGUUGAAGGAACCAGUAUCUCUAGAUUACAUUGUUGAGAUGUGGCAUCCUGAGGGAUAUGGUUGA